This is a non-coding RNA of Rattus norvegicus (Norway rat), 1337 nucleotides long. NCBI's taxonomy places the organism in Eukaryota, Metazoa, Chordata, Mammalia, Rodentia, Muridae. The record is from RefSeq and is a predicted model, not a curated record.
CCUGUAGGAAGGCUUCCUGACUUCCAGGCUAGCCUCCCGCUGGCCCGCCUUCCCAGCGCCAACCACACACUUCCUUCUGCCGUUAUUAUUUUGCAUUUAUUUCCGUGAUUGCCGGAUGAGCGUCUUUCUCUAUCCGUGCUGUCUCCCACCAGGAUGGCAAGCCUGUCCUCUGUCGAUGCUCCCUGUGCUAUCUCUACCACCCGGCAGGCUCCUUGCCAGGGAACUCUUGACAAAUACAUGUUGAUGUACAGAUAGGGUUUUGCUGCAUAGGCUGCCUUGUACUUCAGCCUUCCUGAUUCUACCUCCUACGUGCUGAGACGGAGUAUGACCCACAGUGCCCACUGACAGUGAAGUUCCUGAGCUCUCCUUAGCAUACAUAUCCUUCGAAGACGAUGCUGUAGUCACCAUCUGCCCAGACUACAGCUCUGGGAGAACACACUGGAGACCAUGCUGUCAGGCUGGGAAUCGGGAGAGAAUUCCCAAGCCAGAGGCCAUGUGUGGAUCAAAGAGCACAGAGAUCCAGUCUUGAAGGCGAUGCGUUCAGGCAGGAGUGGGUCUCAGUGGGAUCUCCAACCCCCAAGCCCUACCAUUAUGUACACAGCCGUGUAUACGGAAGUUUGUCUGCGUCCUAUGCCCAGCAUUCCUGUUCAGCCCAUUCUCCUCCUGACCAGCAUCAUUUCUGAGUCCCGUCUCCCAGUUACCAUCAUUUCUCUUCUCUCCUGUCUGACAUCUGAUCCUAAGUAAACAAGACACUAAUAUAACAAUGAUAGACUCAAAUUAUUUCAAGUAAUGUGUGCACCGAGACGGUGUACACUGAAACUGUGUAUACAGGGAUACUGAAAUUGUGCAAACCGAGUGUUGUGCUUUGUAAAAAGAUAAGGAAGGAAGGAAUGUGUUUGGUGGAUGUGUAAUUAGGUGUGGGGGAGGGGUGCCUCUGCAGGCCCAUGCUGAAGCAUCCUUCUCCCUGAGGGACCAGACACACGAAGAUAUAGUAUAGAAUAGAGUUUAUUCUAUUCUAGAGUUGAGAAGAUAGUAGAGACAGAGAAAGGCAGAGAGAGAGAGACAGAGAGAGAGAGAGACAGAGAGAGAGAGAGAGAGAGAGAGAGAGGUAGAGGUAGAGGCCAGCCAUGAGCACAUUGGAGAGAGAGGGGAAGGGAAUGGGGAGAGAGGUGGGGGAGUGGGAGAGAGGACAGAGUGAGAGCAGGAAGGUAAGAGAGAAUAGUGUGGGCAAGGAGACUGUGUCCACUGAGUGUACAGGGAUGUGGAUACCAUGCAAUAGAGAUCGAUAUACUUCAUUUUUAAAGUCUUAUGUUUCAUAUUUGUUUUUAUGUGUAUAA